UGGGGAGUGGUGUAAUUGGUUUAGCACGCGAGCCUUUGGAGCUCGAGGUCGCGGUUCAAUCCCGUGCUCCCCAG
Molecule: transfer RNA, 74 nt
Filed under: Actinomycetota bacterium
Lineage: Bacteria; Bacillati; Actinomycetota
Description: tRNA-Gln
Rfam family: tRNA
About the family: Transfer RNA (tRNA) molecules are approximately 80 nucleotides in length. Their secondary structure includes four short double-helical elements and three loops (D, anti-codon, and T loops). Further hydrogen bonds mediate the characteristic L-shaped molecular structure. tRNAs have two regions of fundamental functional importance: the anti-codon, which is responsible for specific mRNA codon recognition, and the 3' end, to which the tRNAs corresponding amino acid is attached (by aminoacyl-tRNA synthetases). tRNAs cope with the degeneracy of the genetic code in two manners: having more than one tRNA (with a specific anti-codon) for a particular amino acid; and 'wobble' base-pairing, i.e. permitting non-standard base-pairing at the 3rd anti-codon position.
Source: RNAcentral